CCUACGGGAGGCAGCAGUGAGGAAUAUUGGUCAAUGGGCGUAAGCCUGAACCAGCCAAGUCGCGUGCGGGAUGAAGGUUCUAUGGAUCGUAAACCUCUUUUAUAAGGGAAUAAAGUGCGGGACGUGUCCCGUUUUGUAUGUACCUUAUGAAUAAGGAUCGGCUAACUCCGUGCCAGCAGCCGCGGUAAUACGGAGGAUCCGAGCGUUAUCCGGAUUUAUUGGGUUUAAAGGGUGCGUAGGCGGCCUUUUAAGUCAGCGGGGAAAGUCGGUGGCUCAACCAGGGAAUUGCCGUUGAAACUGGGAGGCUUGAGUAUGUUUGAGGCAGGCGGAAUGCGUGGUGUAGCGGUGAAAUGCUUAGAUAUCACGCAGAACCCCGAUUGCGAAGGCAGCCUGCCAAGCCAUGACUGACGCUGAUGCACGAAAGCGUGGGGAUCAAACAGGAUUAGAUACCCCUGUAGUC
RNAcentral lists this ribosomal RNA (460 nucleotides) under uncultured bacterium. RNAcentral's name for it is "partial 16S ribosomal RNA". It matches the Rfam family "Bacterial small subunit ribosomal RNA", at positions 338 to 795 of the family's 1533-position model. The record is from RNAcentral.